GAUGAACGCUAGCUACAGGCUUAACACAUGCAAGUCGAGGGGAAACGACAUCGAAAGCUUGCUUUUGAUGGGCGUCGACCGGCGCACGGGUGAGUAACGCGUAUCCAACCUGCCCAUCACUUGGGAAUAACCUUGCGAAAGUAAGACUAAUACCCAAUGAUAUCCCACGAAGGCAUCGGAAUGGGAUUAAAGAUUUAUCGGUGAUGGAUGGGGCUGCGUCUGAUUAGCUUGUUGGCGGGGUAACGGCCCACCAAGGCAACGAUCAGUAGGGGUUCUGAGAGGAAGGUCCCCCACAUUGGAACUGAGACACGGUCCAAACUCCUACGGGAGGCAGCAGUGAGGAAUAUUGGUCAAUGGGCGAGAGCCUGAACCAGCCAAGUAGCGUGCAGGAAGACGGCCCUAUGGGUUGUAAACUGCUUUUAUAAGGGAAUAAAGUGGGUCACGUGUGACUUUUUGCAUGUACCUUAUGAAUAAGGACCGGCUAAUUCCGUG
RNAcentral lists this ribosomal RNA (492 nucleotides) under uncultured bacterium. RNAcentral's name for it is "partial 16S ribosomal RNA". It matches the Rfam family "Bacterial small subunit ribosomal RNA", at positions 28 to 507 of the family's 1533-position model. The record is from RNAcentral.